UUAGACCUAGAACAAAAAACAUCAGAUAAUUAGAUCCCUGACCUAAGCGAUAGAGACCCCUAGAGAGAGCUUGAAAAACUGCGCAUCUGAAAAUUUUUUCCUCUUCUUCUCCAUUCUUUAUUCUUCCCAUCCUCACUCACCCCAAGCUAAGGAGCCACCUCUUCGUCUAGCUCCCUGAUCUCUCUCAGUCUUGAGAGAACAACAUCAAGCCAAAAACAGGUUUGGAAAUAAAAAAUAAAUAAAAAAUUAAAAAAAAAAAUCCGAAAAUCACAAACCUAUGGAAACAAGAGAGAAAACUGCAUUUCGACGAGGUCUGAAGGGGGAUUGACUACUGAAGUUCCAAAAUUCAACUUCCUCUGUUUUUUUUCUGGGUUUGCACAAGCCAUCGAAGCUCGAAGUUAUGGUUGUUUUUGUUGAUUUGGUUGUUUCAAAAGGCUGCUAAACUCUAGUUCUUUUUUUUCUCGGCAUUUAGAUUUCAAUAACAUGACAUGCUUGCGGAUUUCAUGCCCAGAUCCUAAAAUGUUGUCAGGCUUCGAAAUAAUGAGUCAAGAAUCAAAAUGCAAUGAAGAUAAGUUUAAGGAAAUAAAGCAAAGACUCAGAAUAGCUGAAGAAAAAUUGGUUCCAGAUUUGAAAGGUCCAUACAUGGUAAUGAGUAUUGCCAAAAAGAGCAUUGUACCUGGGGAACAUCGAAAGAAAUAUCCCUAAAACAACUAUCAAUGCAGGUGCAAUUAAAAGGUUUUCACCGUGGGGCACAAGGUUUGAGAUGACCAAAAGAAGAAGUCUCAACCCAAAUAAAAGAAAAGAAGAACAAGAAAAGUAGUUGAACUCUCAGUGAAGAAGCGGAGAAAAGAUGCGGACUGCUCAAGAUAUGAUUGAAGGCACAAGUUUUGCAUGUCCCGCCUUGAUCCGAAAAACCGAAGAAGCAUGAAUCAGCGGUUGCAGCUAACGAGUAUCAAGAUUCAGAUCAGAGUCUGCAGGAAGAACCAUACAAGACUCAAGAUCAAGAUUAGAAGGUUUAUAGAUAGGAAUCUUGU
Nicotiana tabacum (common tobacco) is the source of this 1034-nucleotide non-coding RNA. NCBI's taxonomy places the organism in Eukaryota, Viridiplantae, Streptophyta, Magnoliopsida, Solanales, Solanaceae. The record is from RefSeq and is a predicted model, not a curated record.